RNAcentral lists this ribosomal RNA (632 nucleotides) under uncultured fungus. Its description in RNAcentral is "eukaryotic LSU rRNA". It matches the Rfam family "Eukaryotic large subunit ribosomal RNA", at positions 40 to 647 of the family's 3401-position model. The record is from RNAcentral. Lineage: Eukaryota; Fungi.
AUAUCAAUAAGCGGAGGAAAAGAAACUAACAAGGAUUCCCCUAGUAACGGCGAGUGAAGCGGGAAGAGCUCAAAUUUAAAAUCUGGUUUGCUUGCAAAUCCGAGUUGUAGUCUGAAGAAACGUUUUCCAUGAAAAUCGAGGCACAAGUCCUUUGGAACAGGGCAUCAUAGAGGGUGAGAAUCCCGUCCAUGGUCUCGAAUCUUUCAUUUUGUGAUACGUUUUCUAAGAGUCAGGUUGUUUGGGAAUGCAGCCUAAAAUGGGUGGUAAAUUUCAUCUAAAGCUAAAUAUUGGCGAGAGACCGAUAGCGAACAAGUACCGUGAGGGAAAGAUGAAAAGAACUUUGAAAAGAGAGUUAAAAAGUACGUGAAAUUGUUGAAAGGGAAACGCUUGAAGUCAGUCGCGUCGACCGAGACUCAGCCUCGCCUCGGCUUGGUGUACUUCUCGGCUCGGCGGGUCAGCAUCGAUUUCGAUCCUCGGAUAAUGGCAAGGGAAAGGUAGCACCUUUUUAGGUGUGUUAUAGUCCUCUGUCGCAUGCGAGGGUCGGGAUCGAGGAACUCAGCACGCACCUCAGGGUGUCGGGGCCUUGGCCCACGUUUACGUGCUUAGGAUGCUGGCGUAAUGGCUUUAAACGA